This is a long non-coding RNA of Propithecus coquereli (Coquerel's sifaka), 234 nucleotides long. RefSeq lists it as uncharacterized. The transcript has 3 exons. NCBI's taxonomy places the organism in Eukaryota, Metazoa, Chordata, Mammalia, Primates, Indriidae. The record is from RefSeq and is a predicted model, not a curated record.
AGAUAGCAGACCCUACAUUAGCUGAAAUGGGAAAAAACUUGAAGGAGGCGAUGAAGAUGCUGGAGGACAGUCAGAGAAGAACAGAGGAGGAAAAUGGAAAGAAGGUCGUAUCAGGGGAUAUUCCAGGGCCACUCCAGGGCAGCGGCCAAGAUAUGGUGAGCAUUCUCCAGUUAGUUCAGAACCUCAUGCACGGAGAUGAAGAUGAGGAGCCCCAGAGCACCCGGUAAUGGAAAA